Molecule: ribosomal RNA, 479 nt
Filed under: Oceanospirillaceae bacterium S-C6
Lineage: Bacteria; Pseudomonadati; Pseudomonadota; Gammaproteobacteria; Oceanospirillales; Oceanospirillaceae
Description: bacterial SSU rRNA
Rfam family: Bacterial small subunit ribosomal RNA
Source: RNAcentral
UUGAGUUUGAUCAUGGCUCAGAUUGAACGCUGGCGGCAGGCCUAACACAUGCAAGUCGAGCGGCAGCACGAGGAAGCUUGCUUUCUUGGUGGCGAGCGGCGGACGGGUGAGUAAUACAUGGGAAUCUGCCCGAUAGUGGGGGACAACGUUUCGAAAGGAACGCUAAUACCGCAUACGUCCUACGGGAGAAAGCAGGCUUAGGCUUGCGCUAUCGGAUGAGCCCAUGUCGGAUUAGCUUGUUGGUGAGGUAAUGGCUCACCAAGGCGACGAUCCGUAACUGGUCUGAGAGGAUGAUCAGUCACACCGGAACUGAGACACGGUCCGGACUCCUACGGGAGGCAGCAGUGGGGAAUAUUGGACAAUGGGGGCAACCCUGAUCCAGCCAUGCCGCGUGUGUGAAGAAGGCCUUCGGGUUGUAAAGCACUUUCACGCGAGGAGGAAAGCAGUAAGGUUAAUACCCUUAUUGUGUGACGUACUCG